Molecule: long non-coding RNA, 1085 nt
Filed under: Apteryx owenii (little spotted kiwi)
Lineage: Eukaryota; Metazoa; Chordata; Aves; Apterygiformes; Apterygidae
Description: lncRNA (ENSAOWG00000017424.1)
Source: RNAcentral
CCUGACAUGAGUGAGUUAUAAAGCUGCCUGUCCUGAAGCCGGGGUAGGAAGUACCAGCAGCCACAGCCCUGCCCUCAGGGAAAAGCAGAGGACAAGCGAAAACUGGAAAACAAAUCUGCUGACCACUGGAGCCUGCUGCUGGCAGCGAGAAAAGCCUGUUCCUCCAAAGCUGCCUGCUGGCAUGGCGCCAGGCACAGAGGCGGGCAUGUGUUGUAACGGUCUGAGUGCAGUGACAGUGCCCAGGCUGAUCUGCGCGCUCUCUCGCCUAUCCCAGAAUAAGAGCAACCAGGCGGCCAAGCUCACGCCUGCUGGAGAAGGAAGCUUUGCCUGCUGUUGCACAGCACAGCAGCCAGCUGGUGUCCAGCCCAACACGGCUCCUUCAGGCUGCUAUCGCACUGCUGACUUGGAUGAGUCACAGCUGAUUUUUUUUUCUUGUUUUGCUUGUGAGAAAGACCUGUUUUACAUAUAAUACAGUAAUCAGGGCUUGACAUAAAUAGGCAAUUGUUAUUGUCUGCGGUGGGAAUUGCACCUGCUGGCAAGAGCAAUGAAUGCAGCCCAUUAUGCACUGGAGUUGAUCAUUUGUGCAAUGAAGUACAACUACAUUUCUUGCUGUGUCCUUGUGCAAGUCUUUAUCUCAGCGGCUGCAAGCACACCGACAGAUGUGCCAUCAUCACCUUUGCAGUCUGUCCUCGCCCUGUGAGAUGGAGCAGCCUCUGUUCCCUGCAGCUGUGGAGAUUCUCCAGAGGCAUAGAGAAGACCAAGAUGAUCAGCUCAGAGACUUUGCUGCUUUGUUGAUGGCUGUGUUAUAAAGCCGAGCAGCCUCGUCUCCAAGCACUGAAGCUGCACGUCACAGGCACUAGGGUCCUGCUCCCAGAGCCUGAAUUUACAGAGUGUAUGACUUGUUUAUGGAUCUAGCCACAGAAAACGUGACAGCAGUCUCACCGGCUGAGCAGGUAGGAGCAGUGGCUCUUCAGAGCAGAGGGACUUGUAAGACUGGCUUAGCUACCACCUGCCAGUGUUGUUGAUCCCAGUCUUCUGGCAUUAUAAGAUUUCUCUGAUAAUAAUAAAUAGACUUUGUCUCAUUG